Molecule: microRNA precursor, 103 nt
Filed under: Marmota monax (woodchuck)
Lineage: Eukaryota; Metazoa; Chordata; Mammalia; Rodentia; Sciuridae
Source: RNAcentral
AGUGGAAUAGCUGGGUCAAAUGGUGGUUCCAUUCCAGGUUUUCCAAGGAAUCUCCAUACUGCUUUCCACAUUGGUUGCACCAAUUUUCAGUUCCACCAGCAAU